This 118-nucleotide ribosomal RNA is filed under the name Diaphorina citri (Asian citrus psyllid). The record is from RNAcentral. Lineage: Eukaryota; Metazoa; Arthropoda; Insecta; Hemiptera; Psyllidae.
GAUAGCAGAGAGAAUGUUGAAUACACCAGUUCACAAUGGAUCACUAAAGUUAAGCAACGUUGGACGUGGUUAGUAUCUGGAUGGGUGGCCAUCUGGGUAAUUACAAAAGCUGCUGAGA